GGAACGUGAGCUGGGUUUAGACCGUCGUGAGACAGGUUAGUUUUACCUACUGACAAAGUAGAUACUGCGACAGUAGUCGAAGUUAGUACGAGAGGAACACUCGUCCAGAUACUUGGUUAAUGCCGUUGUCUGAAAAGACAGUACGGCGAAGCUACCAUCUGCUGGAUUACGGCUGAACGCCUCUAAGCCGGAAUCCAUGCUGGAUAAGCAGUGUUGUACACCGUGCUCAAUGCUACAAGAAAAAGGCUAGGUCAGGCUUCGGCCUGACCAAAAUUCAAGCUGCUAUACCUCUGGCUGCAUUGACUUGUGGUCAGAGUGUAUGGUGAUCAUAGCAAUUGCAAGUAUUGGGCUCGAUAAAUCCUUUGAAGACGACUUAAUUGCAUCCGGGUAUUGUAAGUGUUGAGAGUAGGCUUAGUCUUACGAUCCACUGAGAUUCAUCCCGUGUUGCGCCGAUUUGU
RNAcentral lists this non-coding RNA (458 nucleotides) under Perkinsus marinus ATCC 50983. RNAcentral describes it as "Eukaryotic large subunit ribosomal RNA". It matches the Rfam family "Eukaryotic large subunit ribosomal RNA", at positions 2947 to 3401 of the family's 3401-position model. Lineage: Eukaryota; Perkinsozoa; Perkinsida; Perkinsidae. The record is from Rfam by way of RNAcentral.